Long non-coding RNA from Hyalella azteca, 339 nucleotides. RefSeq lists it as uncharacterized. NCBI's taxonomy places the organism in Eukaryota, Metazoa, Arthropoda, Malacostraca, Amphipoda, Hyalellidae. The record is from RefSeq and is a predicted model, not a curated record. The transcript is spliced from 3 exons.
UUACAAAAAGCCGUAGUUGGUAGAACGCAGAUGUUGUGACUGAUUAUUGACGCUUUGACGGUGUCUGUUUUGUGAAAAGAUCAUCAAACAUUCUAGAGCUCUAAGACUCCAGCAGAGAUGAAGGAGUUACCCGCAUUGCAGGAGUCUUCUGAUGCAGUCAAGUUAGGUGCAGGUCUCGAGCUGUGUCAUCAUACAGCUGAAGACUGCAGGCAGAUGGAGCAUUCCUUGCCAAGUUGUGUCUUGGAAGCUGUGAAGAUUGAGCCUCGUGAUGAGCAGCAAUCAAACUGUGACUUGGGGCUCCCAGCUGGCUUCCUUGAAGUGGAGAAAGAGGAACCUUUC